CAAUAGCGUAUAUUAAAGUUGUUGCAGUUAAAAAGCUCGUAGUUGGAUUUCUGGUGGGAGCGAUCGGUCUGGCGCUUAGCGCGAGUACUUGCAGCGUCUCCGGCCAUCCUUGGGGAGAGUCUGUCUGGCAUUAGGUUGUCGGGCAGAGGAUCCUCAUCGUUUACUGUGAAAAAAUUAGAGUGUUCAAAGCAGGCUUAUGCCGUUGAAUAUAUUAGCAUGGAAUAAUAAGAUAGGACUUUGGUACUAUUUUGUUGGUUUGCGCACCAAAGUAAUGAUUAAUAGGGACAGUUGGGGGUAUUCGUAUUCCGUUGUCAGAGGUGAAAUUCUUGGAUUUACGGAAGACGAACUACUGCGAAAGCAUUUACCAAGGAUGUUUUCAUUAA
RNAcentral lists this ribosomal RNA (383 nucleotides) under uncultured eukaryote. RNAcentral describes it as "partial 18S ribosomal RNA". It matches the Rfam family "Eukaryotic small subunit ribosomal RNA", at positions 592 to 976 of the family's 1831-position model. The record is from RNAcentral.